RNAcentral lists this ribosomal RNA (252 nucleotides) under uncultured bacterium. RNAcentral's name for it is "partial 16S ribosomal RNA". It matches the Rfam family "Bacterial small subunit ribosomal RNA", at positions 524 to 776 of the family's 1533-position model. The record is from RNAcentral.
UACGUAGGGGGCUAGCGUUAUCCGGAAUUACUGGGCGUAAAGGGUGCGUAGGCGGUCUUUCAAGCCAGAAGUGAAGGGCUACGGCUCAACCGUAGUAAGCUUUUGGAACUGUAGGACUUGAGUGCAGGAGAGGAGAGUGGAAUUCCUAGUGUAGCGGUGAAAUGCGUAGAUAUUAGGAGGAACACCAGUAGCGAAGGCGGCAUCCUGGACCGACAUUGACGCUGAACGGCGAAAGCUAGGGGAGCAAACGGG